RNAcentral lists this ribosomal RNA (439 nucleotides) under uncultured bacterium. RNAcentral describes it as "bacterial SSU rRNA". It matches the Rfam family "Bacterial small subunit ribosomal RNA", at positions 57 to 510 of the family's 1533-position model. The record is from RNAcentral.
GCAAGUCGAACGGUAACGCAAAGUGCUUGCACUUUGGCGACGAGUGGCGCACGGGUGAGUAAUAUAUAGUUAAUGUACCUUCAAGACCGGGAUAGCCAUUGGAAACGAUGAUUAAUACCGGAUACACCUUCAUACCAUAAGAUAUGAAGGGAAAUGUUUUUUCGCUUGAAGAUCAGACUAUAUCCCAUCAGUUUGUUGGUGAGGUAAGAGCUCACCAAGACUAUGACGGGUAGCGGGUUUGAGAGGAUGAUCCGCCACACUGGUACUGAGACACGGACCAGACUCCUACGGGAGGCAGCAGUGAGGAAUAUUGCACAAUGGAGGAAACUCUGAUGCAGCAACGCCGCGUGGAGGAUGACGCAUUUCGGUGUGUAAACUCCUUUUAUAUGUCAAGAAAAUGACGGUAGCAUAUGAAUAAGCACCGGCUAACUCCGUGCCA